Molecule: long non-coding RNA, 3133 nt
Filed under: Lupinus angustifolius (narrow-leaved blue lupine)
Lineage: Eukaryota; Viridiplantae; Streptophyta; Magnoliopsida; Fabales; Fabaceae
Description: long non-coding RNA (LANG_LNC002675)
Source: RNAcentral
CUGUAUGUGACUACUGAUUACUAAUGUUCAUUACUCUCCAAAUUUGUUUUAGUUGAGGAGUUUAAUUGAUUAUUGAAUUUAUGUAGAUAUCAUGUAAAAUGUCGUUUUACUAUGUUCACCUUGUAGAAUAUCUUUUGCCUUUUAUAUGAUGUGAUGAUGCAGUCCUUUACUGAGAUUCUAAGUAAAUGGCAGUUCAUCUUACCAGAUUUUAUGUAGUAAUUUAUUAUCUUUUUAGUGCCUCCCUCUCCUUAAUCCUCUUUAUAUUUUCACAAUUUGACCCUUAUUUUCUCCCAUUCCGCAGUCUAUUGUCUGUGCCUAACGCUCUAUCAGAUUUUUUACUUUUGUCUAAAUUUCUUAUUUCUUGCAUUCUAUUUUUUGUUUGAGGUAUGUAUGUUGAUAUAAUGAAGGAACUGAUAAAUCUUAUUGAGCAUCAAGGACAAAACUUUUCAAUGAAUUGUGCGCAGAUUUACGAUGAUGGUUCUUCAUGCAUAUUAAUUCUGCAUCUCACAUUCUCAAUUUAAAGUAAAAUUAAAAAAAAAAACAGGUGCAUGGCAUAUUGUAGUUGCUGUAUUUUGUUUGGUCAAUUAUAUAUUCAUAUUUAUCUUACUUUUCCCGUAUUGCAUCUAAAAAAAUCUCACUUUCCUGCAAUGCAAUACAUUACAGCAAUACAGUUCAAUAUAUUCUUGCAUGCCAUUCACUUGAAUGUUCAAUAACUGCUUGGCUCAGUAUUAUCCUUUUACCGUGUUGUGAUACACGAGGUUCACUUUGUAACAUCUUUGAAAUCUUUGAAGUUCAAAUAAAGUUAAUUUCACUUAAAUUUCAGGAUGGAAUUGAAGAAUGCCGUAAACUAUGUGGUGGCCAUGGUUACCUUUGUAGUAGUGGUCUCCCUGAGUUAUUUGCAGUAUAUGUUCCUACCUGCACCUAUGAAGGAGACAACGUUGUGCUGCAAUUACAGGUUUGUUAAAUGUUAACUAUAGCAUGUGUUAUCACAUUGAGUAUUAUUAAUUGAUGUACUUUUUUAUCAAGCUCUUCCUAAUCUGUAAAUAGGACUAUUGCUGUGUGGCAGCUUGCCUGUUUAUGCAGAGUUGGAAUUUUUUUCUUUUUGGUGAGAAGAGCUGUGAUUUUAUUUACUUGUAUUUGAUGUGUUCAUAUACAUUAUUGUAAACAUGUGCAUAUUUUUAGUAAAGCCUUUGUAUUUGAUUGAUAUUGGAUACAUAAAAAUAUGAUGUUAUACUUUUUUCUUCUUUUUUUGGUUUAAGAUUUUGGGACCAUCAACUCUAUCAUAUUUAUCUGAAAAGGGUGGUCCAUUGCACGAGGCUUCCACCUAGUGGGGUAUGGGGAGGGUGGAUGUAUGCAGCCUUACCCUCGCAAUCGAAUAGAGUAUCCAAGAUUUGAACCCAUGACCUCCAAGUCACAUGGCAAACAACCUUAUUGUUGUGCCAAGGCUCGCCUUCUUCUAUGAUAUUGAUCUUAGCAACAACAAAAAAUUAUGAAAAUACCAAAAGGAUUGAAAUAAGUUAAAUAAAAUCUUAUCCCAUGUGGCUUGUCUUAUACACUUCAUGCUGUACAUAAAGUCUUUCAUGUGCCCCUUCUACAUUUCUGUGCUUCAUAUUACAUUCUGAUGCAGUCUUCUUUGGGAGGUUAGGUUGCAAGGCAUCUCAUGAAGACCAUUUCUCAGUUGGGCUCUGGAAAAAAGCCGAUUGGUACAACAGCUUAUAUCGGGCGAUUGGAACAAUUGAUGCAAUAUCGUUCUGAUGUUCAGAAAGGUAUAUAAUGAAUCUGGAUUUGAUUUGAGAAUAUGCAAAUUCUAACCAUAUCAAUCUGUUGAUAUCCAAAUGUCUUGGUUUGAGAUAAUAUUACUAACUAUGCCUUUGCCCUUUAGGAGUUAUAAUUAUUGACUUAUUGUAAUUGCUUGCAGCUGAAGACUGGUUGAAACCUGAUGUAGUGCUGGGAGCAUUUGAAUCUAGGGCUGCUAGGAAGUCUGUUGCUGUUGCUCAAAAUCUUAGCAAGUUUUCCAACCCUGAAGAGGGUAAACGAAUCAAUUUGUGUUCUUGGUGCAGAAAAGCACAUAUAUAAAUAUCUUUUAAGAGCACAUGCAUGAAUGAAUGACUUUUGCAGUUAAUGCAACUUCAUUAGAUAUGAUCAUAUUGAGUGCUAAUGCUUUUUUUGAUGGCAGGUUUCCAGGAACUCUCAGCCGAUCUAGCUGAGGCAGCAGUUGCUCAUUGCCAGUUAAUUGUUGUUUCCAAGUGAGCUUUUUCCCAUUUUUACUGAUAUGUUCCUACCUGCACCUAUGAAGGAGACAACGUUGUGCUGCAAUUACAGGUUUGUUAAAUGUUAACUAUAGCAUGUGUUAUCACAUUGAGUAUUAUUAAUUGAUGUACUUUUUUAUCAAGCUCUUCCUAAUCUGUAAAUAGGACUAUUGCUGUGUGGCAGCUUGCCUGUUUAUGCAGAGUUGGAAUUUUUUUCUUUUUGGUGAGAAGAGCUGUGAUUUUAUUUACUUGUAUUUGAUGUGUUCAUAUACAUUAUUGUAAACAUGUGCAUAUUUUUAGUAAAGCCUUUGUAUUUGAUUGAUAUUGGAUACAUAAAAAUAUGAUGUUAUACUUUUUUCUUCUUUUUUUGGUUUAAGAUUUUGGGACCAUCAACUCUAUCAUAUUUAUCUGAAAAGGGUGGUCCAUUGCACGAGGCUUCCACCUAGUGGGGUAUGGGGAGGGUGGAUGUAUGCAGCCUUACCCUCGCAAUCGAAUAGAGUAUCCAAGAUUUGAACCCAUGACCUCCAAGUCACAUGGCAAACAACCUUAUUGUUGUGCCAAGGCUCGCCUUCUUCUAUGAUAUUGAUCUUAGCAACAACAAAAAAUUAUGAAAAUACCAAAAGGAUUGAAAUAAGUUAAAUAAAAUCUUAUCCCAUGUGGCUUGUCUUAUACACUUCAUGCUGUACAUAAAGUCUUUCAUGUGCCCCUUCUACAUUUCUGUGCUUCAUAUUACAUUCUGAUGCAGUCUUCUUUGGGAGGUUAGGUUGCAAGGCAUCUCAUGAAGACCAUUUCUCAGUUGGGCUCUGGAAAAAAGCCGAUUGGUACAACAGCUUAUAUCGGGCGAUUGGAACAAUUGAUGCAAUAUCGUUCUGAUGUUCAGAAAG